UAGGGAAUCUUCGGCAAUGGACGGAAGUCUGACCGAGCAACGCCGCGUGAGUGAAGAAGGUUUUCGGAUCGUAAAGCUCUGCUGUAAGAGAAGAACGAGUGUGAGAGUGGAAAGUUCACACUGUGACGGUAUCUUACCAGAAAGGGACGGCUAACUACGUGCCAGCAGCCGCGGUAAUACGUGGGUCCCGAGCGUUGUCCGGAUUUAUUGGGCGUAAAGCGAGCGCAGGCGGUUAGAUAAGUCUGAAGUUAAAGGCUGUGGCUUAACCAUAGUACGCUUUGGAAACUGUUUAACUUGAGUGCAAGAGGGGAGAGUGGAAUUCCAUGUGUAGCGGUGAAAUGCGUAGAUUAGGAGGAACACCAGUGGCGAAGGCGGCUUUUUGGCCUGUAACUGACACUGAGGCGCGAAAGCGUGGGGAGCAAACAGGAUUAGAUACCCUGGUAGUCCACGCCGUAAACGAUGAGUGCUAAGUGUUGGUCUCAUAAGAGAUCAGUGCUGCAGCUAACGCAUUAAGCACUCCGCCUGGGGAGUACGACCGCAAGGUUG
Molecule: ribosomal RNA, 546 nt
Filed under: uncultured bacterium
Lineage: Bacteria
Description: bacterial SSU rRNA
Rfam family: Bacterial small subunit ribosomal RNA
Source: RNAcentral